Molecule: long non-coding RNA, 648 nt
Organism: Varroa destructor (honeybee mite)
Lineage: Eukaryota; Metazoa; Arthropoda; Arachnida; Mesostigmata; Varroidae
Source: RefSeq, a predicted model, not a curated record
CACGCAAUCAACUGGAACUCCUUGUUAUCCUGAGAAGAAUUUCGGGCAACUAAAGGAAAUUUUCAAGUUUAGCGUUGACGAACUCACUUAGCGAGUCUUCGCCAGUGAUCGGAAAGUUGAUAAUCCGUCGACGCGCCGUCUGGAGAAUAUGGUAGGUGCCAUGGAACCUCCUACAAAACUCGCGGCAGCGGCUUGAACGACCAGGAUGGGUCCUGGCAUAGUUGUGUUGUUCUCUGCCAGGUGACGUGGUCCGCAUACUCAUGGUCCAAAAUGACACCUUCAACAACAAACGACUUCAUUCCUCACAGUUGUGGAAACCCCGCUGUAAGCGACACAGAUAUAUCCGCAAAUCGUCUGAAGCACUCAGUUAUACAACCGCUCAACGAUCAUCAGCUUGUCUUUGUCAUAUCCCAGCGAGGCGUUCUACUUCAGCGUCAUUCCUGUUUUCUCAGCAUCAGUUGCUUUCCUAAUGCGGUCUUGAUUUGGAAGUUUGUGUGCACGGAAAGAGCAAACUUCGCUACGGUCACCGCAAAUACAGAUAGGCCGCUCAAUCUCAGCUAUUUAUAGGCCACUCGGCCAUUUGUUUCGCUGCACAGAAUGAGAGCCUGACAUGGUACUUACGUGAGCGCGCAAUCUCACGAGUAGUUG